Molecule: ribosomal RNA, 752 nt
Filed under: Clostridioides difficile
Lineage: Bacteria; Bacillati; Bacillota; Clostridia; Peptostreptococcales; Peptostreptococcaceae
Description: partial 23S ribosomal RNA
Rfam family: Bacterial large subunit ribosomal RNA
Source: RNAcentral
AGGCAAAUCCGCUUUGAUAAUGCUGGGAUGUGAUGGGGAGCGAAAUUUAGUAGCGAAGUAGCUGAUUUCACACUGUCAAGAAAAGUCUCUAUCGAGGUUAAAGGUACCCGUACCGCAAACCGACACAGGUGGGUGAGGAGAGUAUCCUAAGGCCAGCGAGAGAACUGUUGUUAAGGAACUCGGCAAAAUGACCCCGUAACUUAGGGAUAAGGGGUGCCACCAUCCGGUGGCCGCAGAGAAUAGGCCCAAGCGACUGUUUACCAAAAACAUAGGUUUCUGCUAAGUCGCAAGACGAUGUAUAGGAGCUGACGCCUGCCCGGUGCUGGAAGGUUAAGGGGAUCUGUUAGAGCAAUCGAAGCAGUGAACUUAAGCCCCAGUAAACGGCGGCCGUAACUAUAACGGUCCUAAGGUAGCGAAAUUCCUUGUCGGGUAAGUUCCGACCCGCACGAAAGGCGUAACGAUUUGGGCACUGUCUCAACAACAGACUCGGUGAAAUUGUAAUUCCGGUGAAGAUGCCGGAUACCUGCGACAGGACGGAAAGACCCCAUGGAGCUUUACUGUAGCUUGACAUUGGGUCUUGGUACUACAUGUACAGGAUAGGUGGGAGGCUUUGAAACCAGGACGCCAGUUUUGGCGGAGCCAUCCUUGGGAUACCACCCUUGUAGUACUGGGACUCUAACCAUAGGCCAUGAAUCUGGUCUUGGGACACUGUCAGGUGGGCAGUUUGACUGGGGCGGUCGCCUCCCAAAAGG